RNAcentral lists this ribosomal RNA (510 nucleotides) under uncultured Glomeromycotina. RNAcentral's name for it is "SSU rRNA". It matches the Rfam family "Eukaryotic small subunit ribosomal RNA", at positions 569 to 1090 of the family's 1831-position model. Lineage: Eukaryota; Fungi; Glomeromycota. The record is from RNAcentral.
AGCAGCCGCGGUAAUUCCAGCUCCAAUAGCGUAUAUUAAAGUUGUUGCAGUUAAAAAGCUCGUAGCUGAAUUUCGGGGUCAGUAGGUCGGUCGUGCCACUGGUAUGAACUGGUUUUACUGAUUCCUCCCUCUUGAAGAACUGUAAUGCCAUUAAUUUGGUGUUGCAGGGAAUCAGGACUGUUACUUUGAAAAAAUUAGAGUGUUUAAAGCAGGCUUUAGCUUGAAUACAUUAGCAUGGAAUAAUGAAAUAGGACGUUUGAUCCUAUUUUGUUGGUUUCUAGGAUUGACGUAAUGAUUAAUAGGGAUAGUUGGGGGCAUUAGUAUUCAAUUGUCAGAGGUGAAAUUCUUGGAUUUAUUGAAGACUAACUACUGCGAAAGCAUUUGCCAAGGAUGUUUUCAUUAAUCAAGAACGAAUGUUAGGGGAUCGAAGACGAUCAGAUACCGUCGUAGUCUUAACCAUAAACUAUGCCGACUAGGGAUCAAAAGGGAUGUUAAUUUUUUAAUGACUCA